Molecule: small RNA, 58 nt
Filed under: Saccharolobus solfataricus P2
Lineage: Archaea; Thermoproteati; Thermoproteota; Thermoprotei; Sulfolobales; Sulfolobaceae
Description: snoRNA-like RNA
Source: RNAcentral
AUAGGAGUGAUGAAACCCAUAAAAUUGACUACACAUGAAAUAACCUGUCUCGGCUGAU